CGGAACGUAGCGCAGCCUGGUAGCGCACUUCCUUGGGGUGGAAGGGGUCCCGGGUUCAAAUCCCGGCGUUCCGACAA
This 77-nucleotide transfer RNA is filed under the name Deltaproteobacteria bacterium RIFCSPLOWO2_02_FULL_46_8. RNAcentral's name for it is "tRNA-Pro". It matches the Rfam family "tRNA". Rfam says of the family: Transfer RNA (tRNA) molecules are approximately 80 nucleotides in length. Their secondary structure includes four short double-helical elements and three loops (D, anti-codon, and T loops). Lineage: Bacteria; Deltaproteobacteria. The record is from RNAcentral.